Non-coding RNA from Phrynosoma platyrhinos (Desert horned lizard), 71 nucleotides. The record is from the annotation of a GenBank genome assembly. NCBI's taxonomy places the organism in Eukaryota, Metazoa, Chordata, Lepidosauria, Squamata, Phrynosomatidae.
GCAAACAUAGUGGAAUGGUUUGAGUGUUAGACUAUGACUCUGAAGAACAGGGUUCAAACCCCUGCUUAGCC